Molecule: ribosomal RNA, 465 nt
Filed under: uncultured bacterium
Lineage: Bacteria
Description: partial 16S ribosomal RNA
Rfam family: Bacterial small subunit ribosomal RNA
Source: RNAcentral
CCUACGGGAGGCAGCAGUAGGGAAUCUUCCACAAUGGGCGAAAGCCUGAUGGAGCAACGCCGCGUGGGUGAAGAAGGUCUUCGGAUCGUAAAACCCUGUUGUUAGAGAAGAAAGUGCGUGAGAGUAACUGUUCACGUUUCGACGGUAUCUAACCAGAAAGCCACGGCUAACUACGUGCCAGCAGCCGCGGUAAUACGUAGGUGGCAAGCGUUAUCCGGAUUUAUUGGGCGUAAAGGGAACGCAGGCGGUCUUUUAAGUCUGAUGUGAAAGCCUUCGGCUUAACCGGAGUAGUGCAUUGGAAACUGGGAGACGUGAGUGCAGAAGAGGAGAGUGGAACUCCAUGUGUAGCGGGGAAAUGCGUAGAUAUAUGGAAGAACACCAGUGGCGAAAGCGGCUCUCUGGUCUGUAACUGACGCUGAGGUUCGAAAGCGUGGGUAGCAAACAGGAUUAGAGACCCUUGUAGUC